UGGUCGUUAGCUCAGUUGGUAGAGCAGUUGACUUUUAAUCAAUUGGUCGCAGGUUCGAAUCCUGCACGACCCA
RNAcentral lists this transfer RNA (73 nucleotides) under Citrobacter freundii. RNAcentral describes it as "tRNA-Lys-TTT". It matches the Rfam family "tRNA". From Rfam's summary of the family: Transfer RNA (tRNA) molecules are approximately 80 nucleotides in length. Their secondary structure includes four short double-helical elements and three loops (D, anti-codon, and T loops). The record is from RNAcentral. Lineage: Bacteria; Pseudomonadati; Pseudomonadota; Gammaproteobacteria; Enterobacterales; Enterobacteriaceae.